GGCUGACUAGCUCAGCUGGUUAGAGCGUCGUGCUAAUAACGCGAAGGUCUUGGGUUCGAUCCCCAAGUUGGCCA
RNAcentral lists this transfer RNA (74 nucleotides) under Amylostereum chailletii. Its description in RNAcentral is "tRNA-Ile". It matches the Rfam family "tRNA". From Rfam's summary of the family: Transfer RNA (tRNA) molecules are approximately 80 nucleotides in length. The record is from RNAcentral. Lineage: Eukaryota; Fungi; Basidiomycota; Agaricomycetes; Russulales; Stereaceae.